UACGAAGGGGGCUAGCGUUGCUCGGAAUCACUGGGCGUAAAGGGUGCGUAGGCGGGUCUUUAAGUCAGGGGUGAAAUCCUGGAGCUCAACUCCAGAACUGCCUUUGAUACUGAAGAUCUUGAGUUCGGGAGAGGUGAGUGGAACUGCGAGUGUAGAGGUGAAAUUCGUAGAUAUCUGGAGGAACACCAGUGGCGAAGGCGACUACCUGGCCUGUUCUUGACGCUGAGGCGCGAAAGCUAGGGGAGCAAACGGG
RNAcentral lists this ribosomal RNA (253 nucleotides) under uncultured bacterium. RNAcentral describes it as "partial 16S ribosomal RNA". It matches the Rfam family "Bacterial small subunit ribosomal RNA", at positions 524 to 776 of the family's 1533-position model. The record is from RNAcentral.